Molecule: long non-coding RNA, 940 nt
Organism: Triticum aestivum (bread wheat)
Lineage: Eukaryota; Viridiplantae; Streptophyta; Magnoliopsida; Poales; Poaceae
Exons: 3
Source: RefSeq, a predicted model, not a curated record
CACCCAUCCGCCCCCAAUCCCCGCAUCCUCUUCCUCUCUCUUGUCUCUCCCGUCUCUCUGUUCUUCCGAUCCGAAUCACAUGCACACCGUUCUCCACCGAGCCGUAGAUGACGCAACCUCCCCGUCGUUCUCAGCAGUACAUUCGUUCCCCAAAUCCCUGGUAGGGCUUGUUCGGUUGCAACGAAAUUGAAGGGGAUUGAAGUGGAUUGGGGUGGAUUAAAUCCCAUACAAGUCAAAAUCUCACUCAAUCCCCUCCAAACCUCUCCAAUCCCCUCCAGGAGAGGUUUAACCGAACAAGGCCGUAGGGAUCUUGCCGAGAUCCUCCUCCUUCAUCCCCACAUUGCUGAUGCAUCGUCACCGAUCCAGGAGUCUUCGUUGACUUUCAACAACCGAGCACAAGGAGGAGGUGAGGCUCACCAGCGGCAUGGCGAAGGUUGCUGCGGCAAGAUGUAUUGCGCCACACGAUGCUAAUCAUGCAUCGUUAGUUUCCUGACCAACCGCCAGAAGACAUUGCAUGUGCUUAACUCCACCACCAGCUCACUGAUAAGCUCGUAGCCGCUGUGUUUAACUCCACCAGGAUCGGGUCCUGCUCUACCUGCAGUUUUGGCCUCUAAUCCACCUUGCCGGAAUGUUGUCUCAGUUUGGGAAUGAGGCCAGCAGGGAUAGGCUCUCACGCCAUGGAGGAGGUGACUUACUAAGCGAUGUUGUAUCUCAACAUCACAUACGCAGGAAGCAUAGAAGAAGGUAGUAAGAUGCAGUAUGUCUUUCCACAAGGUCAUGGUGCCAGAGAUAAGGUGUUCGCACUUUCACUUGCAGUUCAUGUCACUGAGGUAGAUGGUGCAGUGCUUCAUGAUCACCAUGGAAGCAAAUCCUCCAUUUAGCCAAGACAAAUGUUUCGCCAUUGUGGAAACAUAUCCCCAUGUGUAUAGUUUAAAAUGUA